Myotis brandtii (Brandt's bat) is the source of this 1707-nucleotide long non-coding RNA. RefSeq lists it as uncharacterized. Lineage: Eukaryota; Metazoa; Chordata; Mammalia; Chiroptera; Vespertilionidae. The transcript is spliced from 2 exons. The record is from RefSeq and is a predicted model, not a curated record.
CAGGCUGACCUGAAAGCUGACAUAUAGGGUGAUCUGGCAAAGGGAAAGCUGGCACAGUCCUGAUACUGCCUUCAAGGCCUGUGCGGUUGGACUGUCAGCCCCUGGGGUUAUACUGGACACUGGGGAGCGGUGCUUCCCAGACUUGUCUGACCGUAACACCACCCACCAGAGAUGUGUUUGCAGGUAGAACUACCACACUCCACCUCAGUGUCUUUCUUGUCCAUGCUGCCUGUGUCUCUGUCCUGAAUGCUUUUCAAAUUUUGUCCCAGGAAGCCAAAAGAAAACAAGGAUUUAUUUUUGUAUGCUCCAGAGUUCACAAAUUGUAUGCCCACCUGGACAGGUAGAUAGCACAAAACAAUGAAGUCAUUUGUGAAGGACUGGUGACCUGAAGGGCAUAGUGGAGCCAUGAGGGGGCAACUGAGGCCAGCUCCAGCUGCUGGGCCAAGCAGAAGGUGGGCCCAGGGCCGCAAGAGAUUCUGAAAAGAAGUGGAAAAAUAGUGUUUUUAAAUAUGUAAUCUCUCAUCUUUAAACAUUGAGCAUUUAAAGUUCAGAUUAAAUAAAAAAUUGCAGGCGGUAAAACAAAACACUUCAGCAGCUUUGGGUUGGCCCAUAGGCUGUCUAUCUUUUAAUAACCCUGGACUUCAGUGCAGAUUCAACCCUGCCUGUCCACAAUCUUAUUGAAACUUCAUUUCAACACCCCCUGUGCAGACCCCAACACCCUUCUCUGCUUGUAGCUGGUGCCACAAAGAUCCCUCCAUUACUAGGGCUGUCUGCCCCAUGAGCUUAUGAGCCCCUCCCUACCUUACUUAGCUUCCUGACAUGGUUCUCCUUGAAUGCCAGGAAACCUACUGCUCACCGAGGAGCAGCAGCUGGCCAAAGACUCUUUACCAAACUGAUCUGGGAACCUAGCCUGGAAGGAGAUGCCCCAUGACAAGAGGGAGCUGGUCCGAGGCCCCUCAGUGUCUCUCACCGCUAACGGCCACUCAGCAUUGCCAGGGUGACUGCCAGGGUGCUCUUUUCUCCCUAGAUUAGGACUGACACAUGGAGGGUGGUCCAAGUGAAGACUUGGAGAAGAUGCCCAUCUACAAGAUAAGGAGAGAGGCCCUCAGAAGGAACCAAUUCUGCCAACAUCUUGAUCUCAGACUUCUAUCCUUCAAAACUGUAUGACAAUAAAAUUCUGUUGUUUAAGCCACCCAAUCUGCGGUAUUUGUAAGAGGAGUCCUAGCGAAUACAAAAGAGCCCUUGAAAAACAACAAAAUGGGAUCCUGAGGUGAUAGCAGAAAGGGGAAGCCAUAGGGAAAGGCCUCUAGAAGGGCACGUCAUGGUCAGGAUCGGAGUUGGCUUCACGAACAAGUUGAAGGUGUGGCAGUGACCAUCAGAGGUAAAGGUGAGGGUAAAUAUCAGAGUCAGUCAGUGUUAAGGUCAAUUUUAAGGGUCAGAUAAUUUAAUAAUUGGGGUGGGUCAAAGUAUGAAUGGUGGUCUGUGACCAAAGGAUGGUAAAGAUCAGGACAACACAGGGUUCAAGUCAAAAUGGGUCCCCUUCGGUAGAGCAGCAGGAUCAGUGUACAGGUAAGAUUAUUUCAAGGCCAGGCUGAGAAAGGUCAGGAUGACUGUCAGUAUCAAGAUGCGAAUCUGGAGCAGGGUCAGGUUCAAAAUGAAAUCAACACAGGAACAUAAUGUUCAGAAUCAGAAUCAGUCAAAUUAAUG